Molecule: ribosomal RNA, 396 nt
Filed under: uncultured bacterium
Lineage: Bacteria
Description: partial 16S ribosomal RNA
Rfam family: Bacterial small subunit ribosomal RNA
Source: RNAcentral
CCUACGGGGGGCAGCAGUGAGGAAUAUUGGUCAAUGGGCGAGAGCCUGAACCAGCCAAGUAGCGUGAAGGAUGACUGCCCUACGGGUUGUAAACUUCUUUUAUAAGGGAGUAAAGUGAGUCACGUGUGCCUCUUUGGAUGUACCCUAUGAAUAAGGAUCGGCUAACUCCGUGCCAGCAGCCGCGGUAAUACGGAGGAUCCGAGCGUUAUCCGGAUUUAUUGGGGUUAAAGGGAGCGUAGGUGGGAUGUCAAGUCAGUUGUCAAAGUUUGCGGAGCAACCGUAAAAUUGCAGUUGAUACUGGCAGUCUUGAGUACAGUAGAGGUAGGCGGAAUUCGUGGUGUAGCGGUGAAAUGCGUAGAUAUCACGAAGAACUCCGAUUGCGAAGGCAGCUUACUG